AAUAUUUGGCAAUGGGGGCAACCCUGAUCCAGCCACGCCGCGUGUGUGAAGAAGGUUUUCGGAUUGUAAAGCACUGUAAGUUGGGAGGAAGGGCUGUAGGCUAAUACCCUGAAGUUUUGACGUUCCCAACACAAUAAGCACCGGCUAACUCUGCGCCAGCAGCCGCGGUAAUACAGAGGGUGCAAGCGUUAAUCGGAAUUACUGGGCGUAAAGAGCGCGUAGGUGGUUCAGUAAGAUGGGUGUGAAAUCCCCGGGCUUAACAUGGGAACUGCUUUCAUGACUGCUGAGAUAGAGUACGGUAGAGGGUAGUGGAAUUUCCUGUGUAGCGGUGAAAUGCGUAGAUAUAGGAAGGAACACCAGUGGCGAAGGCGACUACCUGGACUGCUACUGACACUGAGGUGCGAAAGCGUGGGGAGCAAACA
Molecule: ribosomal RNA, 422 nt
Filed under: uncultured bacterium
Lineage: Bacteria
Description: partial 16S ribosomal RNA
Rfam family: Bacterial small subunit ribosomal RNA
Source: RNAcentral